This 656-nucleotide long non-coding RNA is filed under the name Carica papaya (papaya). Its description in RNAcentral is "long non-coding RNA (CPAP_LNC003610)". The record is from RNAcentral. Lineage: Eukaryota; Viridiplantae; Streptophyta; Magnoliopsida; Brassicales; Caricaceae.
UCAUAUGCUUGCAAUAAUAAUAUGCAACAUUACGAUCAAUUUUAAGAGCAUUUUUCUGAGGAGUUACAAGAAUCGAAUUCCCAAGUUCAUUGUUUUCCUCCAAAAAAUAAACUUCACCAGCUCUAUUUCAUUUUCAUCAAACUUGUAACCUAAUAUCGUGUUAAACUUAAUCUUGUAUGGAUCAGGAACAAUGCCACUGAAACUCAUUGCAGAAGAAAGAGGUAAGGCAUGGAGGAGUUUUCUUAUUCUCACUUACAAAAGGGGAAAAAAAGGAAAAUGAAAGAAAGAGAAAUUGGUUCAGGGAGAGGAAAAAGAGAGAAUAACAAAGAGAGAAAAGGACAUGGCGGAUCUGGUGCAUGCGAUAGAUGACAUGCAACGAUUAGAUCUAUGUGUCAGACAGUCAUGUAAAUGCAAAGAACGAAGAGUCGAGGCGCACGACAAUAAAAGAUGGGGAUCUACAGCAUAUUUUUCUAAAGAAGUAGAACUCACGGUGGUGGCGAUUAGGUGCAAUUUUAUGAUUUGUGGUGCAUCCUCCGCACGAUUUCAUCAAAUAUGUGCUGAGUUUGGGUGUGCACUCAUUCUGUGAUGAUUUUGUGAUGGUCGUGACUAGGCACGAUUUUAUUAUUUGUGAUGCAUCCUUGGCACAAUUUCAUCAA